GUGAGGAAUAUUGGUCAAUGGGCGGGAGCCUGAACCAGCCAAGUCGCGUGAAGGAAGAAGGAUCUAUGGUUCGUAAACUUCUUUUGCAGGGGAAUAAAGUGCAGGACGUGUCCUGUUUUGUAUGUACCCUGAGAAUAAGGAUCGGCUAACUCCGUGCCAGCAGCCGCGGUAAUACGGAGGAUCCGAGCGUUAUCCGGAUUUAUUGGGUUUAAAGGGUGCGUAGGUGGUUUGAUAAGUCAGCGGUGAAAGGUUGCAGCUUAACUGUAAAAAUGCCGUUGAAACUGUCGGACUUGAGUGUAAAUGAGGUAGGCGGAAUGCGUAGUGUAGCGGUGAAAUGCAUAGAUAUCACGCAGAACUCCGAUUGCGAAGGCAGCUUACUAAGCUACAACUGACACUGAAGCACGAAAGCGUGGGGAUCAAACAGGAUUAGAUACCCGGGUAGUCC
This 445-nucleotide ribosomal RNA is filed under the name uncultured bacterium. RNAcentral's name for it is "partial 16S ribosomal RNA". It matches the Rfam family "Bacterial small subunit ribosomal RNA", at positions 354 to 796 of the family's 1533-position model. The record is from RNAcentral.